This 76-nucleotide transfer RNA is filed under the name Paenibacillus sp. UNC496MF. RNAcentral describes it as "tRNA_Asn_GTT". It matches the Rfam family "tRNA". Rfam says of the family: Transfer RNA (tRNA) molecules are approximately 80 nucleotides in length. Their secondary structure includes four short double-helical elements and three loops (D, anti-codon, and T loops). Lineage: Bacteria; Bacillati; Bacillota; Bacilli; Caryophanales; Paenibacillaceae. The record is from RNAcentral.
UGAUCGAUAGCUCAGUCGGUAGAGCAACGGACUGUUAAUCCGUGGGUCCCAGGUUCGAGCCCUGGUCGGUCAGCCA